RNAcentral lists this ribosomal RNA (1056 nucleotides) under Cellulomonas sp. URHB0016. RNAcentral describes it as "bacterial SSU rRNA". It matches the Rfam family "Bacterial small subunit ribosomal RNA", at positions 56 to 1126 of the family's 1533-position model. Lineage: Bacteria; Bacillati; Actinomycetota; Actinomycetes; Micrococcales; Cellulomonadaceae. The record is from RNAcentral.
UGCAGUCGAACGGUGAUGGCCAGCUUGCUGGUCUGAUCAGUGGCGAACGGGUGAGUAACACGUGAGCAACCUGCCCUUGACUCUGGGAUAACCACGGGAAACGGUGGCUAAUACCGGAUAUGAGACGUACACGCAUGUGUGGCGUCUGGAAAGAUUUAUCGGUCAAGGAUGGGCUCGCGGCCUAUCAGCUUGUUGGUGGGGUAAUGGCCUACCAAGGCGACGACGGGUAGCCGGCCUGAGAGGGCGACCGGCCACACUGGGACUGAGACACGGCCCAGACUCCUACGGGAGGCAGCAGUGGGGAAUAUUGCACAAUGGGCGCAAGCCUGAUGCAGCGACGCCGCGUGAGGGAUGACGGCCUUCGGGUUGUAAACCUCUUUCAGCAGGGAAGAAGCGCAAGUGACGGUACCUGCAGAAGAAGCGCCGGCUAACUACGUGCCAGCAGCCGCGGUAAUACGUAGGGCGCAAGCGUUGUCCGGAAUUAUUGGGCGUAAAGAGCUCGUAGGCGGUUUGUCGCGUCUGCUGUGAAAACCUGAGGCUCAACCUCGGGCUUGCAGUGGGUACGGGCAGACUAGAGUGCGGUAGGGGUGACUGGAAUUCCUGGUGUAGCGGUGGAAUGCGCAGAUAUCAGGAGGAACACCGAUGGCGAAGGCAGGUCACUGGGCCGCAACUGACGCUGAGGAGCGAAAGCAUGGGGAGCGAACAGGAUUAGAUACCCUGGUAGUCCAUGCCGUAAACGUUGGGCACUAGGUGUGGGGCUCAUUCCACGAGUUCCGUGCCGCAGCAAACGCAUUAAGUGCCCCGCCUGGGGAGUACGGCCGCAAGGCUAAAACUCAAAGAAAUUGACGGGGGCCCGCACAAGCGGCGGANCAUGCGGAUUAAUUCGAUGCAACGCGAAGAACCUUACCAAGGCUUGACAUACACCGGAAAAGUGCANANAUGCGCUCCCCGCAAGGUCGGUGUACAGGUGGUGCAUGGUUGUCGUCAGCUCGUGUCGUGAGAUGUUGGGUUAAGUCCCGCAACNAGCGCAACCCUCGUCCUAUGUUGCCAGCGGGU